GGGAAACGGACAGAGGGGCCUGGCCCAGGCCCCAUAUCAAACUUUUGGGGCU
Non-coding RNA from Fukomys damarensis (Damara mole-rat), 52 nucleotides. The record is from Rfam. NCBI's taxonomy places the organism in Eukaryota, Metazoa, Chordata, Mammalia, Rodentia, Bathyergidae.